RNAcentral lists this ribosomal RNA (424 nucleotides) under Lobophyllia corymbosa. RNAcentral's name for it is "SSU rRNA". It matches the Rfam family "Eukaryotic small subunit ribosomal RNA", at positions 75 to 497 of the family's 1831-position model. The record is from RNAcentral. Lineage: Eukaryota; Metazoa; Cnidaria; Anthozoa; Scleractinia; Lobophylliidae.
AGUACUGUGAACUGCGAAUGGCUCAUUAAAUCAGUUAUCGUUUAUUUGAUUGUACCAUUACUACUUGGAUAACCGUAGUAAUUCUAGAGCUAAUACAUGCGAAAAGUCCCGACUUCUGGAAGGGAUGUAUUUAUUAGAUUAAAAACCAAUGCGGGUUCUGCCCGGUUCUUUGGUGAUUCAUAGUAACUGAUCGAAUCGCACGGCCUUGCGCUGGCGAUGUUUCAUUCAAAUUUCUGCCCUAUCAACUGUCGAUGGUAAGGUAGUGGCUUACCAUGGUUGCAACGGGUGACGGAGAAUUAGGGUUCGAUUCCGGAGAGGGAGCCUGAGAAACGGCUACCACAUCCAAGGAAGGCAGCAGGCGCGCAAAUUACCCAAUCCUGACUCAGGGAGGUAGUGACAAGAAAUAACAAUACAGGGCUUUUCC